Molecule: ribosomal RNA, 759 nt
Filed under: uncultured Enterobacteriaceae bacterium
Lineage: Bacteria; Pseudomonadati; Pseudomonadota; Gammaproteobacteria; Enterobacterales; Enterobacteriaceae
Description: bacterial SSU rRNA
Rfam family: Bacterial small subunit ribosomal RNA
Source: RNAcentral
AUUGAACGCUGGCGGCAGGCCUAACACAUGCAAGUCGAGCGGCAGCGGAAAGUAGCUUGCUACUUUGCCGGCGAGCGGCGGACGGGUGAGUAAUGUCUGGGAAACUGCCUGAUGGAGGGGGAUAACUACUGGAAACGGUAGCUAAUACCGCAUGACCUCGAAAGAGCAAAGUGGGGGAUCUUCGGACCUCACGCCAUCGGAUGUGCCCAGAUGGGAUUAGCUAGUAGGUGAGGUAAUGGCUCACCUAGGCGACGAUCCCUAGCUGGUCUGAGAGGAUGACCAGCCACACUGGAACUGAGACACGGUCCAGGCUCCUACGGGAGGCAGCAGUGGGGAAUAUUGCACAAUGGGCGCAAGCCUGAUGCAGCCAUGCCGCGUGUGUGAAGAAGGCCUUAGGGUUGUAAAGCACUUUCAGCGAGGAGGAAGGCAUCAUACUUAAUACGUGUGGUGAUUGACGUUACUCGCAGAAGAAGCACCGGCUAACUCCGUGCCAGCAGCCGCGGUAAUACGGAGGGUGCAAGCGUUAAUCGGAAUUACUGGGCGUAAAGCGCACGCAGGCGGUUUGUUAAGUCAGAUGUGAAAUCCCCGCGCUUAACGUGGGAACUGCAUUUGAAACUGGCAAGCUAGAGUCUUGUAGAGGGGGGUAGAAUUCCAGGUGUAGCGGUGAAAUGCGUAGAGAUCUGGAGGAAUACCGGUGGCGAAGGCGGCCCCCUGGACAAAGACUGACGCUCAGGUGCGAAAGCGUGGGGAGCAAACAGG